GCAGAGACAUGUUGCGCUAGUUUGUGACUCAAGCGAGGGCAUUGAAGUGGUAGAACUAUGGUUCAACUCGUCUGGCAGGGUUGGCAGUUGCAAUCUGCUGACUCGUCCAUUCCAAGUUGUGAGUUGGGUCAUAUGGUCCAUGCGAAGGCUUGGGCUGCGUGUCUCUUAGAACGGAGGGGUACAGCGUGAGGCUGGUUUCACAGAGCUUGUUGGCUGAGAUGAGGCCGUUGCGGUCCUGGUCGUAGAGAUCGCCCAUGAGACGCUGAAGCUCAUCGGCAGAAACG
Molecule: small RNA, 284 nt
Filed under: Prunus dulcis (almond)
Lineage: Eukaryota; Viridiplantae; Streptophyta; Magnoliopsida; Rosales; Rosaceae
Description: sRNA ncRNA
Source: RNAcentral